AUACGAGCCCAUAGAGUCGCGAAUGCAGAUUUAUAAAUAUUGCAUUCGUGCUGAGGGUACUCGAAAAAUAAAAAUCAAUCCCGACUAUGCGUCUCGCUGUAAUACAGUGCAGCGGGAUCACCGUACAGGGAUUU
RNAcentral lists this small nucleolar RNA (134 nucleotides) under Bombyx mori (domestic silkworm). RNAcentral's name for it is "Bm_87". Lineage: Eukaryota; Metazoa; Arthropoda; Insecta; Lepidoptera; Bombycidae. The record is from RNAcentral.